UUUCCGUAGGUGAACCUGCGGAAGGAUCAUUCAUAAUAAGUGUUUUAUGGCACUUUUUAAAUCCAUAUCCACCUUGUGUGCAAUGUCAGUCGUUCGCUUCUAUGGGAACGACCAAACAUCAACAAACUCUUUAACUCUUUGUCUGAAAAAUAUUACGAAUAAAAUAAGUCAACAUACAACUUUCAACAACGGAUCUCUUGGCUCUC
RNAcentral lists this unclassified non-coding RNA (206 nucleotides) under plant metagenome. Its description in RNAcentral is "partial contains small subunit ribosomal RNA, internal transcribed spacer 1, and 5.8S ribosomal RNA". The record is from RNAcentral.